This 425-nucleotide ribosomal RNA is filed under the name uncultured bacterium. RNAcentral describes it as "partial 16S ribosomal RNA". It matches the Rfam family "Bacterial small subunit ribosomal RNA", at positions 354 to 796 of the family's 1533-position model. The record is from RNAcentral.
GUGGGGGAUAUUGCACAAUGGGGGAAACCCUGAUGCAGCGACGCCGCGUGAGUGAAGAAGUAUUUCGGUAUGUAAAGCUCUAUCAGCAGGGAAGAAAAUGACGGUACCUGACUAAGAAGCCCCGGCUAACUACGUGCCAGCAGCCGCGGUAAUACGUAGGGGGCAAGCGUUAUCCGGAUUUACUGGGUGUAAAGGGAGCGUAGACGGCAAGACAAGCCAGAUGUGAAAGGCAGGGGCUCAACCCCUGGACUGCAUUUGGAACUGCCUGGCUAGAGUGUCGGAGAGGUAAGUGGAAUUCCUAGUGUAGCGGUGAAAUGCGUAGAUAUUAGGAGGAACACCAGUGGCGAAGGCGGCUUACUGGACGACAACUGACGUUGAGGCUCGAAAGCGUGGGGAGCAAACAGGAUUAGAAACCCCUGUAGUCC